Molecule: ribosomal RNA, 432 nt
Filed under: Giardia duodenalis
Lineage: Eukaryota; Fornicata; Diplomonadida; Hexamitidae
Description: SSU rRNA
Rfam family: Eukaryotic small subunit ribosomal RNA
Source: RNAcentral
AGGACGGCAGCAGGCGCGGAACUUGCCCAAUGCGCGCGCGCGAGGCAGCGACGGGGAGUGCGCGAGCGAGGCGGGCCCACAGCCCCCGCCGCGGAGCCGAGGGCAAGGUCUGGUGCCAGCAGCCGCGGUAAUUCCAGCUCGGCGGGCGUCGCGUGGCGCUGCUGCAGUUAAAACGCCCGUAGUUGGCCCCCCGCCGCCACGAGGAAACGGGAGCGCUCCAGGCAGGCCCGUUGGACCCGCCGCGUGGGACCGCGCAGCGGGCGCGGCGCGCCGCGGCAGCCCCGAGGAGAGCGGGCGGGGGCACCGGUACCGGCCGGGGACGGGUGAAACAGGAUGAUCCCGCCGAGACCGCCGGCCGCGCAGGCGCCUGCCAAGACCGCCUCUGUCAAUCAAGGGCGAAGGCCGGGGGCUAGAAAGGCGAUCAGACACCAC